This is a long non-coding RNA of Dama dama (fallow deer), 1106 nucleotides long. RefSeq lists it as uncharacterized. The record is from RefSeq and is a predicted model, not a curated record. The transcript has 3 exons. Lineage: Eukaryota; Metazoa; Chordata; Mammalia; Artiodactyla; Cervidae.
UCCAAGGCUGAGGCACAGGGCUCAUGGAGAACAUCUGGGAGCCUGGGUUGACGCUGGUCCUUCAGUUGUGUCUGAAUCUGCGACUCGAUGGACUGUAGCCCAAUAGGCUCCUCCGCCCAUGGAAUUUUCCAGAAAACCCCUUUAGCUGAAGCUCCAAUACUUUGGCCACCUGAUGCUAAGAACUGAGUCAUUGGAAAAGACUCUGAUGCUGGGAAAGAUUGAAGGCAGGAGACGGGAGCGACAGAGGAUGAGAUAGAUGGCAUCACCGAUGCAACAAACAUGAGUUUGAGGAAAAUUUGGACACAGGGAGAGAGAACAAAGAACAAAGAAGCCGAGGAACACCAAGGACUGUCAGCAGUCGCCUAGGCUGGAAGAGGCAAGGAUUCUUCCUCAGAGACUUCAGAGUGAGAAGGGCCUUGCCAACGCCUUAAUUCCUACUUCUCACCACCAAAACUGUGAAAAAAUUAAUUUUUCUACAUUAUAUAAAAAAGUUACAUGGAAACUUUACAACUCACAGUAACUGAUGUUUAACAGCCAAUUAGACUUAGUUGAAGAGAACGAUUGGAAGAUAGAUAAAAGGAAUAAAGACAUAUAAGGAAAGAGUAAAAAAUAGAUACUAAGCCUGAAGUAACUGAAAAGUCUAAUAAAGAGUAUGCAACAACAAAAAUAUCAGUAUUUUUUUAAUCAGUAUUGUAAUAAAUAUUAUUGAAAGCUUUCUCUUUGAAAUUGGGAGUAAGAUGCCCCCUGACCCCAACUUUGUUCAGCACCAUGUUUUCUAAUGAUUAAAAAAUGAACUUACCUAAGUAAGCAACAGGGUAAGGCUAAGAAAAGAAAAAAGUACCUAAGGAUUAGAAAGAAAUUAAUCAAACUGCCAUUAUUUGCAAAUGGAAGGACUUUGUACGUAAAAAAUUCAAAGAAUCAGGACCUCUGUAGUGAUCCAGUGGCAUAAGACUCCACACUAACAAUGCAAGGGCCUGAGCUGGAUCCCUGGUCAGAGAACUAGAUCCCACAUGCUGCAACUAAGACCCUUCACAACCAAAUAAAAAAAGAAAAUCCAAAGAAUCUACAUUUAAAUCAGCAUAAGCAUUAGCAAAACCACAAAAGUC